CACAGAGAAGCUUGCUUCUUGGGUGGCGAGUGGCGAACGGGUGAGUAAUAUAUCGGAACGUACCGAGCAGUGGGGGAUAACUAAUCGAAAGAUUAGCUAAUACCGCAUAUUUUCUGAGGAAGAAAGCAGGGGACCAUUUGGCCUUGCGCUGUUUGAGCGGCCGAUAUCUGAUUAGCUAGUUGGUGGGGUAAAGGCCUACCAAGGCGACGAUCAGUAGCGGGUCUGAGAGGAUGAUCCGCCACACUGGGACUGAGACACGGCCCAGACUCCUACGGGAGGCAGCAGUGGGGAAUUUUGGACAAUGGGCGCAAGCCUGAUCCAGCCAUGCCGCGUGUCUGAAGAAGGCCUUCGGGUUGUAAAGGACUUUUGUCAGGGAAGAAAAGGGCGGGGUUAAUACCCCUGUCUGAUGACGGUACCUGAAGAAUAAGCACCGGCUAACUACGUGCCAGCAGCCGCGGUAAUACGUAGGGUGCGAGCGUUAAUCGGAAUUACUGGGCGUAAAGCGGGCGCAGACGGUUACUUAAGCAGGAUGUGAAAUCCCCGGGCUCAACCUGGGAACUGCGUUCUGAACUGGGUGACUAGAGUGUGUCAGAGGGAGGUAGAAUUCCACGUGUAGCAGUGAAAUGCGUAGAGAUGUGGAGGAAUACCGAUGGCGAAGGCAGCCUCCUGGGAUAACACUGACGUUCAUGCCCGAAAGCGUGGGUAGCAAACAGGAUUAGAUACCCUGGUAGUCCACGCCCUAAACGAUGUCGAUUAGCUGUUGGGCAGCAUGACUGCUUAGUAGCGAAGCUAACGCGUGAAAUCGACCGCCUGGGGAGUACGGUCGCAAGAUUAAAACUCAAAGGAAUUGACGGGGACCCGCACAAGCGGUGGAUG
RNAcentral lists this ribosomal RNA (876 nucleotides) under uncultured bacterium. RNAcentral's name for it is "bacterial SSU rRNA". It matches the Rfam family "Bacterial small subunit ribosomal RNA", at positions 70 to 938 of the family's 1533-position model. The record is from RNAcentral.